CCUACGGGGGGCAGCAGUGAGGAAUAUUGGUCAAUGGACGAGAGUCUGAACCAGCCAAGUAUCGUGAAGGAUGACUGCCCUAUGGGUUGUAAACUUCUUUUAUAUGGGAAUAAAAUGUUCCACGUGUGGGAUUUUGUAUGUACCAUAUGAAUAAGGAUCGGCUAACUCCGUGCCAGCAGCCGCGGUAAUACGGAGGAUCCGAGCGUUAUCCGGAUUUAUUGGGUUUAAAGGGAGCGUAGGUGGAUUGUUAAGUCAGUUGUGAAAGUUUGCGGCUCAACCGUAAAAUUGCAGUUGAAACUGGCAGUCUUGAGUACAGUAGAGGUGGGCGGAAUUCGUGGUGUAGCGGUGAAAUGCUUAGAUAUCACGAAGAACUCCGAUUGCGAAGGCAGUUCACUGGACUGCAACUGACACUGAGGCUCGAAAGUGUGGGUAUCAAACAGGAUUAGAUACCCCAGUAGUC
RNAcentral lists this ribosomal RNA (460 nucleotides) under uncultured bacterium. RNAcentral's name for it is "partial 16S ribosomal RNA". It matches the Rfam family "Bacterial small subunit ribosomal RNA", at positions 338 to 795 of the family's 1533-position model. The record is from RNAcentral.